This 1248-nucleotide long non-coding RNA is filed under the name Anolis carolinensis (green anole). RNAcentral's name for it is "lncRNA (ENSACAG00000042414.1)". The record is from RNAcentral. Lineage: Eukaryota; Metazoa; Chordata; Lepidosauria; Squamata; Anolidae.
GAUUUUCCCAUUGAAAUGCUAUGAAUCUGUUCCAGCCCCACGGGACCCCACUCCCCCAUUUUUUGUAAUGCGUUUUUAAAUAAGAAAAUGUACUUUAUAAAUAACAAAUAAAGUAUAAAUACAAAUUCUCAUGGAUCAAUGAGAAAGAAAGAUCAACUUUAAAAUGGUAGAAGAACAAAGUUGUAACAAAGAAGCACAUUUGAGGCAACUGAAUGUGUCUUGGCCAGUGUAACAGCAAGGCAAAACCUGCACAUUCACAUGGAACAAUAAACAGAAAUAUCAACUUUAAAAUGGCAAGGAAGCACAAAGUACAAAGUGAAGAGGCAGAAGCAUCAUUUUCUUCAUACUGUACUCAUUCCAGCCUCCUUUGCUCUCUUGCUCUCCCCCCUGCCUUUUCUUCACGAAGCCAAACAUACUGAGAAUAAAAGUUACACAAAUCAAUUAACUCAAGUCUCUCAAAGUAAACAAGACCAAAGCAGACAGCAAUCUCCCAAAGUGGACAAGAGCAUGAGGCACGAAGGCACAGAGACAGGGGGCACGAGGCACUGAGGUUGUCCCCUUGAAGCCCUAAAACCCUGUACUUUCAUGCUAGUGCCCCCUCUGGCACUAGCACUUAACUUAAAACACUGCUUGUAUGUUAAAGUGAAAAUCAGGCUGAGCGAUGGCUCUUAACUCAAAAUACUCAAGUUGGGAUGCUCUUAAGUCAAGGUUCCAUUGUAUUUGAAUGAUCAGGAAGAUUUUCCUGGUCAAAUAAACAAUAGUAUUUAAUCCUUCCCCAACCAUCUGGUCUACCUCCUGACCCAAAAGCCACGUACAAAAUUCCAAUUCUCCUUCUGCACUUACAUAACUACUCUCAAACUCUCUUCCAGUUUCAUGAGGGUUGGAAAAACAAUUGAAUUGGGCUUUCUUUUCUUUUUUUGCCUCAGUGUAAAACUUGAGGAGAUGUUUAUAUUGUACUUCAGAUAAAGAGAGGAAAACUUAUCAGCAUUACUUCUUCCUAAGUUGAAUGUUUAAACUUCAUUUUUUCUAUCCCAAAUAUGCAGGAAACUGCAAAUUUAAUUUUCCACCAACAAAUGAAUGAAACUAUUUCCUAUUUACAGUAGCUAAAUUUAAUAAGCAUUACCCUUCUCAGAAAACGUCCUGUGCACUGGCCAUGCAGCAUUUAAAGAUGAGAAGUCUUUCAGGAAACAAAAAGUGCCAGCCCUAGUUCGACAUUAACACAACUGAAUGCAAAGGAAAAAAUGAAGC